GGUCCGGACAGCCCGACCACCAGACAGCCCGACCCUGGACAGCCCGACCCGCUGCCCUGGACAACUCGUCCCGGUCGAGUUGUCCAGGGUUGGCUCUGAAUCGGACAACUCGACCACUUGAAUUCUUCUUCAAAAUUUCAUGAAAUGAAAUUUCAAACUUUACUUCAAAAGUAUUUUCCGCAUAAUCCAUGUUUCUUCAAUACAUUCUCGACAGAAAAAUUGACAUUUCAGUGCAUUUUGAGCUAUUUUGAAAGAAAAUAAAGCGAGUUCCCUUGCAACGAGAAUAAUCCGAUACCGCCGGCGAGCCGUGUUCAUUCAACUUACAACUUGCAAAUUUGAGUUGAUUUUUCCGUCACUUUACAUAUUUUAAUGUAUCUGUCACAGCUUUUUUUCUGAUGCAAAUUCCACUGGAAACAACAGGUUUUCUGGAGGAUACAAGCACUUGGGCUGGUCCCAACCACCUACACCCGGGAUGAGAAGAGGUUUCAUACUCGACAAGCGAUGGCCUUGGCUUUCCAUUUCUUUCACGAGCAGAAAUGAUACCGAGUUCCAAUGACUUGGGCAUCAGAGCAGCAGUGCCUUGAUCGAUGAGCUCUUUGAGACCACCUGAAUUGCAAGCUCUGUAUGGCCAGUUUAUGUGUGACAAAAUAAGAGAUGAGGAAGGGAUCAUGUAAUUGCCAUGGAAACCAAAUAUAGUAACGUAUAACAGGUUGUAUAUUCCUGAAAGUGCAAUUGUUGGAUAAAUGUUAAUUUAUAUUGGCACUAAUGUAAUUUUAAGAUCGUCCUUAGCUUUACAUAAACACCAAGAGCAGAGGAUAUUGUUCCCAGUUGGAAUUGUGUCAUAUUUAUUUUCAUAAGAGUAUUAUCAUAAUUGUGGUAAUGUAAUCCUAUUUGAAACUUUGAACCAGUAUAAAUGUGGGAUAUAAUAUGUUUUAUAUACACUGAAGUUCAAUAUGUGUUACUAUGUAAUUUUAGAUCUGAUUAAGUUUACCUUAAAUGUUACUUAAUAAAACCCACUUAACUCCAAAGAAGUAUUUUGAAUAUUUGGUUCUUGCACUAUUUUGUAUCUCUUUUCUCGCUGAAUAUUUACCUUUUAUUGAGAGCUGCGGUGACGGGUUCCAUGACAUUUGCUCUGGCAAAUUCCACACCAUAAUCUUAUGAACAGCUUCAACCAGCAAGGUCUAAACCUAACUUAAAACCAUAUUGCAACCCUGAACCUCUAUCAUAAGGGGCUUUCACAAUUGCUCGUGCGAUUAUUUGCGAUCACUUGGUCACAAUAUAUGUUGCACAGAAUUGCAACUGUGAAGGGUCGUAAGUAGUUGCGCAGCCAAUUGUGAAAAGGGCUUUAGACAAAAUUAAGCCUGGGGGCAAUUGUCGCAGGAGCAAAUGUUGUGUCACAUGGUAAUCAGAUGGAGAUGAUUGGAGAGAUGAAGAUGGGGGGGGGAGGAUGGAGAUGAAAGGUGGGAUGGUCAUGACGAGGAGUGAUGGAGUUGAGAGGGGUGUGGAUGAUGAGUGGAUGGAGAUGAUGAGAGGAGGGAUGAUACAAGGAUGGAUUGAGAUGAUGAAAGGUGGAAUGGCCAUGAUGAGGAGUGAUGGAGUUGAUGGGAGGGGUGUGGAUGGAGAUGAUGAGAGGAGGGAUGGGAUGAGGCAAGGAUGGAUGGAGAUGAUGUGGAAGGGUUGACAGGAGUAGGGGGUGGAGAUGAGGAAGAGAUUGAAAUGAAAUAGGGAUGGAGAUGCGAAAAUGGUUGGAGAAGACGGGAAUGGAGAUAAUGGGGGUGGAGAUGUCAGGCGGCGUGUUGAUAAUGAGAGAAGAAAGAUAAAAGGGCAGGGGGGUGAUCAUCAUCACAAACAUUGCCUCCACCAACUUCAUCAUUACCAUCAUCGUCAUUAUGACAUCAUCAUCACCACAAACUUCAUCAUUAUCAUUGGCGUAAUGAGUGAAAGAUUUUGAGGGGUAAGAUAUGGCCCAUCAUGCCAAAGUUAUUUUUUUACAUUUUUAUUACACAAACUCAUUUUUUUUAUUAUGACAUCAUACUAAAACUCUUCUCUCUUUUCGUUUCUCUUUCAUUCUUUUUUUUGUAUUUUAUCUUCUUUUUUGAGGGGGGGGGGUGCUCUUGCCCCCAAGACCAUGAUCCCCUACCACCUGUAUUCCACUGUUCAUUACCAACACCAUCUACUAUCGUCAUAAUCAUCAA
Molecule: long non-coding RNA, 2195 nt
Organism: Lytechinus variegatus (green sea urchin)
Lineage: Eukaryota; Metazoa; Echinodermata; Echinoidea; Temnopleuroida; Toxopneustidae
Exons: 3
Source: RefSeq, a predicted model, not a curated record